RNAcentral lists this non-coding RNA (191 nucleotides) under Niallia circulans. The record is from RNAcentral. Lineage: Bacteria; Bacillati; Bacillota; Bacilli; Caryophanales; Bacillaceae.
AAUUGAAUAGCGCAAAUAGGUGCUGUGAAUGAAGUAUUCAUAGCUUAAAAGGGAAGACCGGUUAGAAUCCGGCACGGUCCCGCCACUGUAAGGAGGAGCAAUUUCUCAAUAUCCACUGUCUUUUUUAGAUGGGAAGGGGAGAAAGAGUGAUGAUUCUAAGUCAGGAGACCUGCCUAUUUUGUAAGUAAGCU